CAAAAACACGUCUUUUUGAGUUAUUUUNAAANUNUAACCNNCCCNANGANNGAUUUUUAAUGGCCGCAGUAAUUUGACUGUGCAAAGGUAGCAUAAUAAUUAGUCUUUUAAUUGAAGGCUUGUAUGAAUGGUUGGACGAAGUAUAAUCUGUUUCAUUUAAAUUUAUUAUAGAAUUUUAUAUUUUAGUAAAAAAGCUAAAAUUUUUUUAAAAGACGAGAAGACCCUAUAAAUCUUUAUAAUUUAUAUAUAUAUAUAUAUUUUUUUGAUUUAUUUUAUUUUAAUAAUUUAAAUUAUUUUAUUGGGGUGAUAUUAAAAUUUAAUUAACUUUUAAUUUUUUUUUUUUUCAUUAAUUUAUGAAUUAUUGAUCCAUUAAUAAUGAUUAUAAGAAUAAGUUACUUUAGGGAUAACAGCGUAAUUUUUUUGGAGAGUUCUUAUUGAUAAAAAAGUUUGCGACCUCGAUGUUGGAUUAAGAUAUAAUUUUAGGUGUAGUUGCUAAAANAANAAGUCUGUNCNACUUUUAANUUCUUACNUGAUCNGANNNCANACCGNA
RNAcentral lists this ribosomal RNA (550 nucleotides) under Heringina arezoana. Its description in RNAcentral is "partial large subunit ribosomal RNA". The stretch from base 403 to 550 matches the Rfam family "Bacterial large subunit ribosomal RNA", at positions 2473 to 2620 of the family's 2925-position model. The record is from RNAcentral. Lineage: Eukaryota; Metazoa; Arthropoda; Insecta; Diptera; Tephritidae.